GGGAGUGACGGGCUUCGAGGAUAGAUAAGGUAAGUAUUGCAAGCCAAGUUUUAAAGAUCUUGUAAAAACUUUAAAAAUUAUAGUCGCAAAACUAUUUAAUAAGGCUAAGGUUGCAAUAGCUAACGCUUUUGCUCCAAUGAGCCUUCAAACCGCUACUGCCUAAUACGCAGCAGCCAUCGAUUCAAUUGAUGCCUAAUAGAUUGAAAUCGGUGUCGUUUAUUAGGCGAAUCCUUUAAGAGCGUUUCCCUUUUUUAGGAGGAUUUUGCAAGGAAACAGAAAAAUUCAUUUUUUUGCUCAACUUAAGUGAAUUUUUCCAAAAAUCGGUUGAGCUAAGCUUGUAGAAAAUAUUUUGCCAAAUUUAUCCCACGCCGGUUCAACUCCGGCCACUUCCACCU
RNAcentral lists this transfer-messenger RNA (395 nucleotides) under Candidatus Moraniibacteriota bacterium. It matches the Rfam family "transfer-messenger RNA". Rfam says of the family: Bacterial tmRNA, also known as 10Sa RNA or SsrA, is named for its dual tRNA and mRNA-like properties. Its role is to liberate the mRNA from a stalled ribosome. To accomplish this part of the tmRNA is used as a reading frame that ends in a translation stop signal. RNAcentral also lists the same sequence under 1 other name. Lineage: Bacteria; Candidatus Moraniibacteriota. The record is from RNAcentral.